GUGGGUUUUCCGGUGCCAUACG
Molecule: microRNA, 22 nt
Filed under: Lingula anatina
Lineage: Eukaryota; Metazoa; Brachiopoda; Lingulata; Lingulida; Lingulidae
Description: Lan-Mir-96-P3_3p* (star (passenger))
Source: RNAcentral